Molecule: transfer RNA, 108 nt
Filed under: Fusarium poae
Lineage: Eukaryota; Fungi; Ascomycota; Sordariomycetes; Hypocreales; Nectriaceae
Description: tRNA-Pro
Rfam family: tRNA
About the family: Transfer RNA (tRNA) molecules are approximately 80 nucleotides in length.
Source: RNAcentral
GGCCUGAUGGUCUAGCGGUAUGAUUCUUGCUUCGGGAGUGACAUCUCAGUCUUAUUUAAAGAGACUAUAGUUUGCGAGAGGUCCCGGGUUCAAUCCCCGGUCAGGCCC